This 405-nucleotide ribosomal RNA is filed under the name uncultured bacterium. RNAcentral's name for it is "bacterial SSU rRNA". It matches the Rfam family "Bacterial small subunit ribosomal RNA", at positions 917 to 1322 of the family's 1533-position model. The record is from RNAcentral.
GGGUCCGCACAAGCGGUGGAGCAUGUGGUUUAAUUCGAUGAUACGCGAGGAACCUUACCUGGGCUCUAAUGCCUUUGACCGCCCUUGAAAGAGGGUUUUCCUUCGGGACAAAGUGCAAGGUGCUGCAUGGUUGUCGUCAGCUCGUGCCGUGAGGUGUUGGGUUAAGUCCCGCAACGAGCGCAACCCCCUAUCUUCAGUUGCCAGCACAUAAUGGUGGGGACUCUGGAGAGACUGCCUACGCAAGUAGCGAGGAAGGCGGGGACGACGUCAAAUCAUCAUGGCCUUUAUGCCCAGGGCGACACACGUGCUACAAUGGUAGGUACAGAGGGUAGCCAAGCCGCGAGGUGGAGCCAAUCCCAGAAAGCCUAUCCCAGUUCGGAUUGGAGUCUGCAACCCGACUCCAUG